UACGUAGGUGGCAAGCGUUAUCCGGAAUUAUUGGGCGUAAAGAGCGCGCAGGUGGUUGAUUAAGUCUGAUGUGAAAGCCCACGGCUUAACCGUGGAGGGUCAUUGGAAACUGGUCGACUUGAGUGCAGAAGAGGGAAGUGGAAUUCCAUGUGUAUCGGUGAAAUGCGUAGAGAUAUGGAGGAACACCAGUGGCGAAGGCGGCUUCCUGGUCUGUAACUGACACUGAGGCACGAAAGCGUGGGGAGCAAACAGGAUUAGAUA
This 261-nucleotide ribosomal RNA is filed under the name uncultured prokaryote. RNAcentral describes it as "partial 16S ribosomal RNA". It matches the Rfam family "Bacterial small subunit ribosomal RNA", at positions 524 to 784 of the family's 1533-position model. The record is from RNAcentral.